This 114-nucleotide ribosomal RNA is filed under the name Betaproteobacteria bacterium. Lineage: Bacteria; Pseudomonadati; Pseudomonadota; Betaproteobacteria. The record is from RNAcentral.
UCUGACGACCAUAGCAAGUCGGCCCCACCCCUUCCCAUCCCGAACAGGACCGUGAAACGACUCCGCGCCGAUGAUAUUGCACACUACGUGUGAGAAAGUAGGUCAUCGUCAGAC